GAAGGGAUAACCGCUGAAGGCAUCUAAGUGGGAAGCCCGCCUCAAGAUGAGCCAUCCCUGAGGGUUUAACCCUCCUAAAGGCACCAGGGAGACUACCUGGUUGAUAGGGUGGAGGUCUAAGUGCCGCAAGGUAUUCAGCCGACCACUACUAAUUUGCCGUGAGGCUUGACCAU
RNAcentral lists this ribosomal RNA (173 nucleotides) under Treponema sp. Its description in RNAcentral is "partial 23S ribosomal RNA". It matches the Rfam family "Bacterial large subunit ribosomal RNA", at positions 2758 to 2925 of the family's 2925-position model. The record is from RNAcentral. Lineage: Bacteria; Pseudomonadati; Spirochaetota; Spirochaetia; Treponematales; Treponemataceae.